RNAcentral lists this ribosomal RNA (205 nucleotides) under uncultured bacterium. Its description in RNAcentral is "partial 16S ribosomal RNA". It matches the Rfam family "Bacterial small subunit ribosomal RNA", at positions 570 to 774 of the family's 1533-position model. The record is from RNAcentral.
CGUAGGCGGUCUUGUAAGUCAGGUGUGAAAGCCCGGGGCUUAACCCCGGAAGUGCACUUGAAACUAUAAGACUUGAGUAUGGGAGAGGGAAGUGGAAUUCCUGGUGUAGCGGUGAAAUGCGUAGAUAUCAGGAGGAACACCGGUGGCGAAGGCGACUUCCUGGACCAAUACUGACGCUGAGGCGCGAAGGCGUGGGGAGCAAACA